RNAcentral lists this ribosomal RNA (400 nucleotides) under phytoplankton environmental sample. Its description in RNAcentral is "partial small subunit ribosomal RNA". It matches the Rfam family "Eukaryotic small subunit ribosomal RNA", at positions 587 to 987 of the family's 1831-position model. The record is from RNAcentral.
AGCUCCAAUAGCGUAUAUUAAUGUUGUUGCAGUUAAAAAGCUCGUAGUUGGAUUUCUGACAAGAGCGACUGGUCCGAGCCUUCGGGUUCGAGUACUUGUGUCGUCUCUAGUCAUCCUUAUGGAGAACAUGGAUGGCAUUCGGUUGUCGUCUAUGGGACCCAUAUCAUUUACUGUGAAAAAAUUAGAGUGUUCAAAGCAGGCAAUCGCUAUGAAUACAUUAGCAUGGAAUAAUAAGAUAGGACUUUGGUACUAUUUUGUUGGUUUGCAUACCAAGGUAAUGAUUAAGAGGGACAGUUGGGGGUAUUCGUAUUUAAUUGUCAGAGGUGAAAUUCUUGGAUUUAUGAAAGACGAACUACUGCGAAAGCAUUUACCAAGGAUGUUUUCAUUAAUCAAGAACGAA